RNAcentral lists this ribosomal RNA (497 nucleotides) under uncultured bacterium. RNAcentral's name for it is "partial 16S ribosomal RNA". It matches the Rfam family "Bacterial small subunit ribosomal RNA", at positions 28 to 507 of the family's 1533-position model. The record is from RNAcentral.
GAUGAACGCUGGCGGCGUGCCUAAUACAUGCAAGUCGAGCGAACGGACGAGGAGCUUGCUUUUCUGACGUUAGCGGCGGACGGGUGAGUAACACGUGGAUAACCUACCUAUAAGACUGGGAUAACUUCGGGAAACCGGAGCUAAUACCGGAUAAUAUUUUGAACCGCAUGGUUCAAAAGUGAAAGACGGUCUUGCUGUCACUUAUAGAUGGAUCCGCGCUGCAUUAGCUAGUUGGUAAGGUAACGGCUUACCAAGGCAACGAUGCAUAGCCGACCUGAGAGGGUGAUCGGCCACACUGGAACUGAGACACGGUCCAGACUCCUACGGGAGGCAGCAGUAGGGAAUCUUCCGCAAAGGGCGAAAGCCUGACGGAGCAACGCCGCGUGAGUGAUGAAGGUCUUCGGAUCGUAAAACUCUGUUAUUAGGGAAGAACAUAUGUGUAAGUAACUGUGCACAUCUUGACGGUACCUAAUCAGAAAGCCACGGCUAACUACGUG